This is a long non-coding RNA of Nothoprocta perdicaria, 705 nucleotides long. RefSeq lists it as uncharacterized. NCBI's taxonomy places the organism in Eukaryota, Metazoa, Chordata, Aves, Tinamiformes, Tinamidae. The transcript is spliced from 6 exons. The record is from RefSeq and is a predicted model, not a curated record.
UCGAGAGAAAAGCCUGGGAUACAAAGUUUUGUCUCCUGAAUGCAGCUGGCUUGUGAAUGAGACCGUGUAAAGUGUGUCAGCUUGCAAAGCACCAGUGUGCUGAUCUGUACGCAGGAAUUAAGCUCAGCAGAGUUGCAUGGAUUUGAAAGAAAGCUGCUAAAUGUGUGGCUGCAUGUGCAGAGCUGCCCUGGCACUUGCUGUCCCCUUCUGCGCCUGGAAAAGGAAAGCUCUCCUCCCAUUCCAGCUCCCGACUUGUGGAUUCCCAUUUUCUUUGCCUUGCUCGUUCCGUUUGUAGUUCUCCACUCCGGUCUCUGCAGAGUAAUUUACUGGCAGAAUCUCUCCCAGAAUCCAGCUUGAAACCAAGCUGUAAAAACAGCUGAGUGUGUAAAUAAUUCAUGCAGACAAUAUGACUUUUUUAUGUAAAUUCGGUGCAUUAACCCUCUAUUAUAAUGAUGGACGACAGAUAUGGGCGACGUUGCCUUGAGCAGGCAGAUUUUCACCGGUUCCCCUGGCCGGUACCAUGCUCUGGUUGAUGAUAUGUAGAGCAGAAGGCAUCGUUCUGACCAGACCCUCUAUUUAAAGGAACACGGCAGAUGGAAGCGAGGACCUCUUGGAACCCUCCAUGGUGCUUGGAGAAGGGGUGACGCAGAUUGUUUUAGCACCCUCUCUAAAAAUAGCACCAACAACCGUGUGACCAGUGGUGUU